Long non-coding RNA from Alosa sapidissima (American shad), 720 nucleotides. RefSeq lists it as uncharacterized. The transcript is spliced from 3 exons. NCBI's taxonomy places the organism in Eukaryota, Metazoa, Chordata, Actinopteri, Clupeiformes, Clupeidae. The record is from RefSeq and is a predicted model, not a curated record.
CAGUCUCUCCUGUAGAUGUCGUGGCCUCUGUUGUGAGUCCUUCAGGUCCAGCAGCAGGGGGCAGUAGUGUGACUCUGACCUGUAACACAAGUGAGGCCAACACUCCAGUGCAGAACUACACCUGGUUUAGAGGAGACCUGCACACCCCUAUAGGAUCUGGACAAACCCUCACCUUUAAUCUCAGCUCCAGUGAUGAAGGACAGUACUACUGCAGGGCAGAACAUUCACAAGGGGGAAAGGAGUCUGAUGCAGUGAGACUGGUGAUUAAAAAACAAAGCCAAAGUUUCCUGGCUAUAGGAAUCACGGUAAAGUGUCUGGCUGCAUUUAUCAUAACCAUCUUGGUCAUUGAUGUUGUGAGGUGGCAAAAAUCCCAUCAGAAGAUAAAACCGGGUGGGCAUCGCCAGGUAAAUUAACUUCAGUAACAGAUAAGAGUGACAUGACACUGUCAUAACCCUACCACUAACCUGUACACUCGGUCAAAAACGGUAACACUUUACUUUAGGUUUCUAAAUAAGAGUGACAUGACAUAACCCUAACCCAACUUGUCAUGACAAAACCCGAAUAACACUUGACAGAAGCGUGUGACAGAAGCGUUAUGUCUUAAACGUUUAUGUCUUGUUUAUAAUGUUUAUGACAUGUUCAUGACAGUGUCAUGUCACUCAUAUGUAGAUCCCUUCAAGUAAAUUGUAACCCUAACUUCUUUACAAUAGUGUCACAACA